Molecule: ribosomal RNA, 274 nt
Filed under: uncultured bacterium
Lineage: Bacteria
Description: partial 16S ribosomal RNA
Rfam family: Bacterial small subunit ribosomal RNA
Source: RNAcentral
AUACGAAGGGGGCUAGCGUUGUUCGGAAUUACUGGGCGUAAAGCGCGCGUAGGCGGACUGAUCAGUUGGGGGCGAAAUCCCAGGGCUUAACCCUGGAACUGCCUCCAAUACUGUCAGUCUUGAGUUCGGGAGAGGUGAGUGGAAUUCCUAGUGUAGAGGUGAAAUUCGUAGAUAUUAGGAAGAACACCAGUGGCGAAGGCGGCUCACUGGCCCGAUACUGACGCUGAGGCGCGAAAGCGUGGGGAGCAAACAGGAUUAGAUACCCUAGUAGUCC